RNAcentral lists this microRNA precursor (88 nucleotides) under Python bivittatus (Burmese python). Its description in RNAcentral is "microRNA pbv-mir-10b precursor (pbv-mir-10b-1)". Its record names the gene pbv-mir-10b-1. The stretch from base 8 to 82 matches the Rfam family "mir-10 microRNA precursor family". From Rfam's summary of the family: In this case the mature sequence comes from the 5' arm of the precursor. The extents of the hairpin precursors are not generally known and are estimated based on hairpin prediction. The products are thought to have regulatory roles through complementarity to mRNA. The record is from miRBase by way of RNAcentral. Lineage: Eukaryota; Metazoa; Chordata; Lepidosauria; Squamata; Pythonidae.
ACGUUGUCUAUAUAUACCCUGUAGAACCGAAUUUGUGUGGUAUUUACGUAGUCACAGAUUCGAUUCUAGGGGAAUAUAUGGUCGAUGC